This is a long non-coding RNA of Amblyraja radiata (thorny skate), 94 nucleotides long. RefSeq lists it as uncharacterized. The transcript is spliced from 3 exons. NCBI's taxonomy places the organism in Eukaryota, Metazoa, Chordata, Chondrichthyes, Rajiformes, Rajidae. The record is from RefSeq and is a predicted model, not a curated record.
AGCAAUGCCACACAUUGGCAAGCUCAUAGAACAUUAUGAUGACUUUGUUGCUAUGCUGAAUAGCGGAACAUCCUGUGGGGGGACGAGAAGCACC